This 73-nucleotide transfer RNA is filed under the name Rikenellaceae bacterium. RNAcentral's name for it is "tRNA-Thr". It matches the Rfam family "tRNA". From Rfam's summary of the family: Transfer RNA (tRNA) molecules are approximately 80 nucleotides in length. Their secondary structure includes four short double-helical elements and three loops (D, anti-codon, and T loops). Lineage: Bacteria; Pseudomonadati; Bacteroidota; Bacteroidia; Bacteroidales; Rikenellaceae. The record is from RNAcentral.
GCCGUAAUAGCUCAGUCGGUAGAGCAUUUCACUCGUAAUGAAAAGGUCUCGAGUUCGAGUCUCGAUUACGGCU